UAGAGAGUGCCCUUCGGGGAGCUCUUGCACAGGUGCUGCAUGGCUGUCGUCAGCUCGUGUCGUGAGAUGUUGGGUUAAGUCCCGCAACGAGCGCAACCCUUGUUUUUAGUUGCCUUUUAUGGAACUCUAGAAAGACUGCUGGUUAUAAACCGGAGGAAGGUGGGGAUGACGUCAAGUCAGCAUGCCCCUUACACCCUGGGCUACACACGUACUACAUUGGGCGAGACAAUGAGAUGCAAAUCUGCAAAGACUAGCUAAUCUAUAAACUCGUUCUAAGUUCGGAUUGUAGGCUGCAACUCGCCUACAUGAAGGUGGAAUCGCUAGUAAUCGCUGGUCAGCUACACAGCGGUGAAUUCGUUCCCGGGCCUUGUACACACCGCCCGUCACACCAUGGAAGCUGGUUAUACCCGAAGUCAGUACUCUAACCAUUUGGAGGAGGGUGCCUAAGGUAGAAUUAGUGACUGGGGUGAAGUCGUAACAAGGUAACC
RNAcentral lists this ribosomal RNA (488 nucleotides) under uncultured bacterium. RNAcentral's name for it is "bacterial SSU rRNA". It matches the Rfam family "Bacterial small subunit ribosomal RNA", at positions 1006 to 1501 of the family's 1533-position model. The record is from RNAcentral.